CAGCAUGGGGAAUAUUGCACAAUGGGCGCAAGCCUGAUGCAGCCAUGCCGCGUGUAUGAAGAAGGCCUUCGGGUUGUAAAGGUACUUUCAGCAGUGAGGAAGUGGGUAUGUUAAUAGCAUACUCAUUUGACGUUAGCUGCAGAAGAAGCACCGGCUAACUCCGUGCCAGCAGCCGCGGUAAUACGGAGGGUGCGAGCGUUAAUCGGAAUUACUGGGCGUAAAGCGCAUGCAGGUGGUUGUUAAGUCAGAUGUGAAAGCCCGGGGCUCAACCUCGGAAUUGCAUUGAAACUGGCAAACUAGAGUACUGUAGAGGGGGUAGAAUUUCAGGUGUAGCGGUGAAAUGCGUAGAGAUCUGAAGGAAUACCGGUGGCGAAGGCGGCCCCCUGGACAGAUACUGACACUCAGAUGCGAAAGCGUGGGGAGCAAACAGGAUUAGAUACCCUGGUAG
This 448-nucleotide ribosomal RNA is filed under the name uncultured bacterium. RNAcentral's name for it is "bacterial SSU rRNA". It matches the Rfam family "Bacterial small subunit ribosomal RNA", at positions 349 to 793 of the family's 1533-position model. The record is from RNAcentral.